UACGAAGGGAGCUAGCGUUGUUCGGAAUCACUGGGCGUAAAGCGCACGUAGGCGGAUGUGUCAGUCAGGGGUGAAAUCCCGGGGCUCAACCUCGGAACUGCCUUUGAUACUGCUAGUCUCGAGUCCGGAAGAGGUGAGUGGAAUUCCGAGUGUAGAGGUGAAAUUCGUAGAUAUUCGGAGGAACACCAGUGGCGAAGGCGGCUCACUGGUCCGGUACUGACGCUGAGGUGCGAAAGCGUGGGGAGCAAACAGG
RNAcentral lists this ribosomal RNA (253 nucleotides) under uncultured bacterium. RNAcentral describes it as "partial 16S ribosomal RNA". It matches the Rfam family "Bacterial small subunit ribosomal RNA", at positions 524 to 776 of the family's 1533-position model. The record is from RNAcentral.